AACGUGACAAAUGCGACAUGGUUCAUGCUUGCUCGAUUGAUUGAUUGCAAUAGACAAAAACUCUUCUUGUCUCUUCACCUCGCCACCGGGGCCGCCAUACAAUUACCUCCAUAAAUCUUGGAUAGAAUGUUAGGAGUAACUAACUCUGCACUGUGCCAUUGCUGUGUGUCAGUGUGUGUAUAUAUAUCCAGCUGCCAGCUGCAGAGUGAAGCAUAAACAUCAGUAGACGACGGCGAUGGCGCCCAAGCGACUUGUCUGCUUCUUGGCCGUGGCCGCCGCGCUAGCCACCACCUGCCACGGGUGGGGCGCCAGCGCCGGCGAUGUCGUGUCGUCGUCGGCGGCGGCGCUCUCGUUCGUGGACAGGCUGAGGCAGAUGAUGAUCCCGGCGGCCGUGGGCGACGGCGACUACUGCGACAGCUGGCGCGUCGGCGUGGAGGCGAACAACGUGCGGGGGUGGACGGCGGCGCCGCGCAAGUGCGACAACUACGUCGAGAACUACAUGCGCGGCCACCACUACCGCCGCGACAGCAAGGUCGUCGUCGACGAGGCCGCCGCCUACGCCGAGGCCGCCGUCCUCUCCGGCGACCCCGCCGCCGACGCCAACGCCACCUGGGUGUUCGAUGUCGACGAGACCGCCCUCUCCCACGUCAAGUUCUACAAGAAGCACGGCUUCGGGUACCACAGAACCGACGAGCCGGCGUUCAUGGAGUGGCUGAUCGCCGGCAGAGCGUCGGCGUUGCCGAACACGGUGACGCUGUACAAGAAGCUGCUCCUCCUCGGCGUCAAGAUCGUCUUCCUGUCGGACAGGCCGGACACGCCGGAGCUGAGGAACGCCACCGCCACCAAUCUCAUCAAGGAAGGCUUCGACUGCUGGGACGAGCUCAUAUUAAGGUCACAUUACAAACUAAUUAAUCUCUGAAUUCCUGCGUGUAGUCCCUCCGUCCUAAAAUAUAAAUAUUUUUAGCAUAGUGACAAAUCAAAUAUUUUAAACUUUAACCAUUAAUAGUAAAAAAAGAUCAAUCAUGUAAAAUUGAUGUUACUAGAUUUAUCAUUAAACAAACUAUCAUGAUAUGUAACUCUUUUUAUUUAAAACAUAUUGUUGGUUAAAGUAGCAUCUCGCAGACCGUGUAUAAGAGUCUAAAAAUGCUUACAUUUUGAGACGGUGCGAGUAUAAAAUUGAUGAAACGAACGAACAGGUCGGAGAACUCGACGGCGACGGGAUCGGUGGUGGAGUACAAGUCGGGGGAGAGGAAGAAGCUGGAGGAGGAGAAGGGGAUGGUGAUCAUCGGCAACAUCGGUGACCAGUGGAGCGACCUGCUGGGCUCGCCGGAGGGCCGCCGGACCUUCAAGCUGCCCAACCCUGCCUACUACAUCGACAACUACAAGCGCGCCGGCGCCGCCGUCCGCGCCGCCGUAGCCAUUACAGCCUCCUCCUCCUCGUCGUCGUCGUGAAGCAAACGAUGCCUAGCUAGCUAUAGUACUCAACUUUGAAUUGCAUUUUUUUUUUCAGACACAUAAGUUCAGUUAAUAAUCGGUCGUGUACGUACCUGCCGUGCUGUGCACUGUUGUAUCUUUUUGGUGAGAUGAUUGAAAUAUCUUUGGGUUUAUCUUUUAUAAUUGGUUUUACCGUGAAUUAAUUAGGCUUGCUGCUAAUGACAAAUUUCUGAGGAG
Molecule: long non-coding RNA, 1671 nt
Filed under: Oryza sativa Indica Group (long-grained rice)
Lineage: Eukaryota; Viridiplantae; Streptophyta; Magnoliopsida; Poales; Poaceae
Description: lncRNA OsLiXu_01g0006400
Source: RNAcentral